GCAAGUGUGGUGUAGUGGUUUGAGUGUUAGACUGCGACUCUGGAGACCAGGGUUCAAAUCCUUGCUCAGUCA
This is a non-coding RNA of Phrynosoma platyrhinos (Desert horned lizard), 72 nucleotides long. The record is from the annotation of a GenBank genome assembly. Lineage: Eukaryota; Metazoa; Chordata; Lepidosauria; Squamata; Phrynosomatidae.